AUUGAACGCUGGCGGCAUGCUUUACACAUGCAAGUCGAACGGUAACAGGCCGCAAGGUGCUGACGAGUGGCGAACGGGUGAGUAAUGCAUCGGAACGUGCCCAGUCGUGGGGGAUAACUACUCGAAAGAGUAGCUAAUACCGCAUACGAUCUAUGGAUGAAAGCGGGGGACCGUAAGGCCUCGCGCGAUUGGAGCGGCCGAUGUCAGAUUAGGUAGUUGGUGGGGUAAAGGCUCACCAAGCCAACGAUCUGUAGCUGGUCUGAGAGGACGACCAGCCACCCUGGGACUGAGACACGGCCCAGACUCCUACGGGAGGCAGCAGUGGGGAAUUUUGGACAAUGGGCGCAAGCCUGAUCCAGCAAUGCCGCGUGCAGGAAGAAGGCCUUCGGGUUGUAAACUGCUUUUGUACGGAACGAAACGGCUCUGGUUAAUACCCGGGGCUAAUGACGGUACCGUAAGAAUAAGCACCGGCUAACUACGUG
This 482-nucleotide ribosomal RNA is filed under the name uncultured bacterium. RNAcentral's name for it is "partial 16S ribosomal RNA". It matches the Rfam family "Bacterial small subunit ribosomal RNA", at positions 30 to 507 of the family's 1533-position model. The record is from RNAcentral.